UACGUACGAGGCGAGCGUUAUCCGGAAUUAUUGGGCGUAAAGAGCUCGUAGGCGGUUUGUCGCGUCUGCUGUGAAAACGCGAGGCUCAACCUCGCGCCUGCAGUGGGUACGGGCAGACUAGAGUGCGGUAGGGGAGAUUGGAAUUCCUGGUGUAGCGGUGGAAUGCGCAGAUAUCAGGAGGAACACCGAUGGCGAAGGCAGAUCUCUGGGCCGUAACUGACGCUGAGGAGCGAAAGCGUGGGGAGCGAACAGG
This 253-nucleotide ribosomal RNA is filed under the name uncultured bacterium. RNAcentral's name for it is "partial 16S ribosomal RNA". It matches the Rfam family "Bacterial small subunit ribosomal RNA", at positions 524 to 776 of the family's 1533-position model. The record is from RNAcentral.